Molecule: small RNA, 588 nt
Filed under: Pongo abelii (Sumatran orangutan)
Lineage: Eukaryota; Metazoa; Chordata; Mammalia; Primates; Hominidae
Description: retained intron
Source: RNAcentral
CAGUCAGAGAGGAAGUCAGAGACCAUUUGGACGUAUGGCCAGCAGCUCACUUCAUGGAGGAACAAGAUUGCAGGGACGGUUCACUGGGAAACAUCGAUGACCUGGCGCAGCAGUAUGCAGAUUAUUACAACACCUGUUUCUCUGAUGUGUGCGAGAGGAUGGAGGAGCUGCGGAAACGGCGGGUUUCCCAGGACCUGGAAUUGGAGAAACCCGAUGCUAGCCCCACGUCACUUCAGCUGCGGUCCCAGAUCGAAGAGUCGCUUGGCUUCUGUAGCGCCGUGUCAACACCAGAAGUGGAAAGAAAGUAAGUCUUUCUCCCUCUGCCCAGGACCACUUUCCAAGAAGGUGUCUUUUAGGUCCAUGCUGACGGAAAUCAAACAGGCAAUCGUGUGCGUAUGUACUAUGGAGUUUGAUGUCAUUUUCCUUAACAUGUUACAUGCAUGUGUGUGUAUCUAGGUGGCUAAGAGUGUGUUUUGUAAUGCAGUUGGUGAUGUCUAAGGAUUUUGUGAAGAGUUACUGAUUUUACACUUAUUGUGAAUAAACCCUAAAUAAAUCUCCGGAAAUAGAAAGGGAAAGGAUAGGUGCAUU